This 492-nucleotide ribosomal RNA is filed under the name uncultured bacterium. RNAcentral describes it as "partial 16S ribosomal RNA". It matches the Rfam family "Bacterial small subunit ribosomal RNA", at positions 29 to 507 of the family's 1533-position model. The record is from RNAcentral.
AGUGAACGCUGGCGGUAGGCCUAACACAUGCAAGUCGAACGGCAGCACAGUAAGAGCUUGCUCUUACGGGUGGCGAGUGGCGGACGGGUGAGGAGUACAUCGGAAUCUACUUUUUCGUGGGGGAUAACGUAGGUAAACUUACUCUAAUACCGCAUACGCCCUACGGGUGAAAGCAGGGGAUCUUCGGACCUUGCGCGAUUGAAUGAGCCGAUGUCGGAUUAGCUAGUUGGCGGGGUAAAGGCCCACCCAGGCGACGAUCCGUAGCUGGUCUGAGAGGAUGAUCAGCCACACUGGAACUGAGACACGGUCAAGACGACUACGGGAGGCAGCAGUGGGGAAUAUUGGACAAUGGGCGCAAGCCUGAUCCAGCCAGACCGCGUGGGUGAAGAAGGCCUUCGGGUUGUAAAGCCCUUUUGUUGGGAAAGAAAAGCAGCAGGUUAAGACCACGCUGUUCUGACGGUACCCAAAGAAUAAGCACCGGCUAACUUCGUG